RNAcentral lists this ribosomal RNA (375 nucleotides) under Alcaligenes sp. Nfb2K. RNAcentral's name for it is "bacterial SSU rRNA". It matches the Rfam family "Bacterial small subunit ribosomal RNA", at positions 1007 to 1384 of the family's 1533-position model. Lineage: Bacteria; Pseudomonadati; Pseudomonadota; Betaproteobacteria; Burkholderiales; Alcaligenaceae. The record is from RNAcentral.
UAGGAUUUGCUCGCNAGAGAACCGGAACACNAGGUGCUGUAUGGCUGUCGUCAGCUCGAUGUCGUGAGAUGUUGGGUUAAGUCCCGCAACGAGCGCAACCCUUGUCAUUAGUUGCUACGAAAGGGCACUCUAAUGAGACUGCCGGUGACAAACCGGAGGAAGGUGGGGAUGACGUCAAGUCCUCAUGGCCCUUAUGGGUAGGGCUUCACACGUCAUACAAUGGUCGGGACAGAGGGUCGCCAACCCGCGAGGGGGAGCCAAUCCCAGUAAACCCGAUCGUAGUCCGGAUCGCAGUCUGCAACUCGACUGCGUGAAGUCGGAAUCGCUAGUAAUCGCGGAUCAGCAUGUCGCGGUGAAUACGUUCCCGGGUCUUGU